RNAcentral lists this ribosomal RNA (466 nucleotides) under Vreelandella stevensii. RNAcentral's name for it is "partial 16S ribosomal RNA". It matches the Rfam family "Bacterial small subunit ribosomal RNA", at positions 338 to 795 of the family's 1533-position model. Lineage: Bacteria; Pseudomonadati; Pseudomonadota; Gammaproteobacteria; Oceanospirillales; Halomonadaceae. The record is from RNAcentral.
CCUACGGGUGGCUGCAGUGGGGAAUAUUGGACAAUGGGCGAAAGCCUGAUCCAGCCAUGCCGCGUGUGUGAAGAAGGCCUUCGGGUUGUAAAGCACUUUCAGUGGGGAAGAAAGCCUUGGGGCUAAUACCCUCGAGGAAGGACAUCACCCACAGAAGAAGCACCGGCUAACUCCGUGGCCAGCAGCCGCGGUAAUACGGAGGGUGCGAGCGUUAAUCGGAAUUACUGGGCGUAAAGCGCGCGUAGGCGGUCUGAUAAGCCGGUUGUGAAAGCCCCGGGCUCAACCUGGGAACGGCAUCCGGAACUGUCAGGCUAGAGUGCAGGAGAGGAAGGUAGAAUUCCCGGUGUAGCGGUGAAAUGCGUAGAGAUCGGGAGGAAUACCAGUGGCGAAGGCGGCCUUCUGGACUGACACUGACGCUGAGGUGCGAAAGCGUGGGUAGCAAACAGGAUUAGAUACCCUAGUAGUC